Molecule: long non-coding RNA, 337 nt
Filed under: Chinchilla lanigera (long-tailed chinchilla)
Lineage: Eukaryota; Metazoa; Chordata; Mammalia; Rodentia; Chinchillidae
Description: lncRNA (ENSCLAG00000028836.1)
Source: RNAcentral
CUUGCUCCUCUGUCUCGGCCACCAGAGCACACCCUGCCAGCUCCCUUUGUCUACCUGUUACCUGCAGUGCCUGUGCAGUUGGUGCUUGGUGAUGAAUGGAAGUCUUCAACAGUGAUUCACUCUUCUCAUGCUCCUCGCUCAUCUACUGACUGCCUGUCCUGAAUCAGGCUAUGCCUGGGCAUGGGAGUCAAAGGCAAAUGAAGCACCACAUCUGGCUCACUACCCACUGUUGCUGUUGGAAACUUCUUGUCAGCUCCACUUGAGACCUGCCAUCCUUGGAGUCCUGCACUCCCAUCCCUCCAGCCUCGUUGCAUUCUCUAUCCAGGAAAUCAUGACA